AAAUAUCUUUGGUCGAACAGACCGUCUUAAAUAAGCUGCUACACAUAUAUAAGUAUUUAAUUCAACAUCGAGGUCACAAACACCUAUUCUGAUAAGAACUCUUAUAGGCAUAAUGCUGUUAUCCCUAGAGGAGCUAGUUCAUUAUUCCRGAGAGGAUCAUGUUUAAAUUUAUACUUAUGAAUAAUAUARUUAAUAUUUACCCCAAAUAAUUAGCGCCGGGGAUAAUGUUAAUUUAUUUGUCCGCUAACAGCUUCAUAGGGUCUUCUCGUCUUAAAAAGCUACUUGGGUAUUUUCACCCAAAUUAAAAUUUCAUGUUCAAGUAUAAAUAAAUUAUUCUAGUGAAUCCAUUCAUUCCAUUUUCCAAUUAAAAAACUAAUUACUAUGCUACCUUAGCACUAGCGCGGCUAUUAAAAUUAAUCAUUGAGCAGGYAAUAUAAAUAGAAAUUAAGAUGUUUUUGAUAGACAGGCCAAAUUAAACUAUGUCGAGUAAUUUUACUAUUAUUAUAUUUUUAACAAUAAUAUAUAAGAUUUAAAUGAUAAAAUAACACAAUAACUACUAAUAUAAAUAUAGUUUACUAACAGAAAUACUAUUUCAGAAGGUUAAAUUGUUUUAGGUUAAGCCGUAAAAAUCAAAACCCAUACGAAUUUUAAUAAACUCUAAUUAAUAUUAUUAUUUCUACUAGAUACAGAAAAAUAGACAGGCUUAAGUUAAAAUUUUAAAACUUGKCUUUUAAAAUCUAUUUUACUCUUUAAGUCAGAUUUAAUCUGAUCAAAUUUAAUAAGAAGCUGCCCAAUCUGAGCAUAUCACCCCUAAAAUAAUAUUUUAUAGUGUUUUAUAACAAGCUUAAGUAUAUUAUUUUUAUUCUCAGCAGUUCGUAAAGGCAGCUUACCUAAAAAGUUCAUUUAUACAUGAUGCAAAAGGKAAUAAGCCUAAAAAUUUAUAAUAUUAACUCAUUAAAACCUAGUUACUAGUCCAUACACUCUUAAAUCUAGAUAUUAAUAACAUUAUUACACAUAUAACUAUUUUUAAUAUAUUAUUAUUCUAUCUCAACCCUGCAGGUAUUAUUAAUUUACAAAAUUAAAAUUUUAAUUUAAAUUAUAAGAUAAAACUAUUAGAAAUCUAAUUCUUUAUAAUGUUUUCAAAACAUCUUUUUCAAUAG
Molecule: ribosomal RNA, 1160 nt
Filed under: Neocalanus gracilis
Lineage: Eukaryota; Metazoa; Arthropoda; Copepoda; Calanoida; Calanidae
Description: partial large subunit ribosomal RNA
Source: RNAcentral